GAACGCUGGCGGCGUGCCUCACACAUGCAAGUCGAGCGAUCUUCUUCGGAAGAGAGCGGCGGACGGGUGAGUAACGCGUGGGUAACCUGCCCUGUACACACGGAUAACAUACCGAAAGGUAUGCUAAUACGGGAUAACAUAAGAAAGUCGCAUGGCUUUCUUAUCAAAGCUUUUGCGGUACAGGAUGGACCCGCGUCUGAUUAGCUAGUUGGUAAGGUAACGGCUUACCAAGGCGACGAUCAGUAGCCGACCUGAGAGGGUGAUCGGCCACAUUGGAACUGAGACACGGUCCAAACUCCUACGGGAGGCAGCAGUGGGGAAUAUUGCACAAUGGGCGAAAGCCUGAUGCAGCAACGCCGCGUGAGCGAUGAAGGCCUUCGGGUCGUAAAGCUCUGUCCUCAAGGAAGAUAAUGACGGUACUUGAGGAGGAAGCCCCGGCUAACUACGUGCCAGCAGCCGCGGUAAUACGUAGGGGGCUAGCGUUAUCCGGAAUUACUGGGCGUAAAGGGUGCGUAGGCGGUCUUUCAAGUCAGAAGUGAAAGGCUACGGCUCAACCGUAGUAAGCUUUUGAAACUGUAAGACUUGAGUGCAGGAGAGGAGAGUGGAAUUCCUAGUGUAGCGGUGAAAUGCGUAGAUAUUAGGAGGAACACCAGUUGCGAAGGCGGCUCUCUGGACUGUAACUGACGCUGAGGCAC
This 695-nucleotide ribosomal RNA is filed under the name uncultured Clostridium sp. RNAcentral's name for it is "bacterial SSU rRNA". It matches the Rfam family "Bacterial small subunit ribosomal RNA", at positions 31 to 754 of the family's 1533-position model. Lineage: Bacteria; Bacillati; Bacillota; Clostridia; Eubacteriales; Clostridiaceae. The record is from RNAcentral.